This 88-nucleotide transfer RNA is filed under the name Halieaceae bacterium UBA7381. RNAcentral describes it as "tRNA-Ser(gga)". It matches the Rfam family "tRNA". Rfam says of the family: Transfer RNA (tRNA) molecules are approximately 80 nucleotides in length. Their secondary structure includes four short double-helical elements and three loops (D, anti-codon, and T loops). The record is from RNAcentral. RNAcentral also lists the same sequence under 10 other names. Lineage: Bacteria; Pseudomonadati; Pseudomonadota; Gammaproteobacteria; Cellvibrionales; Halieaceae.
GGAGAAGUGGCCGAGUGGUCGAAGGCGCACGCCUGGAAAGUGUGUAUACGGCAACGUAUCGAGGGUUCGAAUCCCUCCUUCUCCGCCA